Molecule: transfer RNA, 72 nt
Filed under: Stegodyphus mimosarum
Lineage: Eukaryota; Metazoa; Arthropoda; Arachnida; Araneae; Eresidae
Rfam family: tRNA
About the family: Transfer RNA (tRNA) molecules are approximately 80 nucleotides in length.
Source: Rfam by way of RNAcentral
GCCUUCUUAGUGUAGUGGUCAGCACUUUAACGCGUAACCAAGAGAUCCGUGGUUCGAUUCCCGGCGAAGGUG